GAUGAAGAACGCAGCGAAACGCGAUAUGUAAUGUGAAUUGCAGAAUUCAGUGAAUCAUCGAAUCUUUGAACGCACAUGGCGCCUUCCAGUAUCCUGGGAGGCAUGCCUGUCCGAGCGUCGUUUCAACCCUCGAGCCCCCGUGGCCCGGCGUUGGGGAUCUGCCCAGGCAGUCCCCGAAAACCAGUGGCGGACCCGUUACAGGCCCUUCCCUUGCGUAGUAGCAUUCGCCUCGCAUCGGGAGCCGGCGGGCUUCCAGCCUCUAAACCCCCAUCAAGUCCGCCCCGGCGGCACCAAGGUCGACCUCGGAUCAGGUAGGAAUACCCGCUGAACUUAAGCAUAUCAAUAAGCGGAGGA
This 354-nucleotide unclassified non-coding RNA is filed under the name soil metagenome. RNAcentral's name for it is "partial contains 5.8S ribosomal RNA, internal transcribed spacer 2, and large subunit ribosomal RNA". The stretch from base 1 to 120 matches the Rfam family "5.8S ribosomal RNA", at positions 35 to 154 of the family's 154-position model. The record is from RNAcentral.